CACUUCUGGUGCUACCAUAUCAUUACAGUCAGCUGAGCUCAGUGGGACAACAUGGUUCAAUCUUUCAGCUAUUGAGCUUGGUCUUGUGGUUAGUGGUUCUCUUUAUGGGGCUCUUCUUGGUUCACUCCUUGUCUACCCAAUUGCGGAUUUUCUAGGAAGGAGGCGAGAACUUAUUAUAGCAGCUGUGCUAUAUAUGUUUGGUGGUCUGAUCACUGCUUGUGCUCCAGGCCUUGGUGUUCUCUUAGUAGGACGUCUUCUCUAUGGUCUUGGCAUUGGUUUGGCUAUGCAUGGUGCACCUCUCUAUAUUGCAGAAACUUGCCCAUCACCGAUUCGUGGAACUCUAAUAUCUCUAAAGGAACUGUUCAUAGUUCUGGGAAUUUUGUUGGGAUAUUUUGUGGGAAGCUUUCAAAUUAAUUCAGUUGGGGGGUGGCGUAACAUGUAUGGAUUUGGUGUGCCAAUUGCUUUUCUUAUGGGACUAGGCAUGUGGAGUCUCCCACCCUCUCCACGCUGGUUACUUCUCAGGGCAGUUCAAGGUAAAGGAUCUUUACAAGAUUACAAAGAGAAGGCCAUUUUUGCCUUGAGCAAGCUAAGAGGCCGGCUUCUGGGUGACAAAGUGUCUGAGAAGCAAAUAGAGGAUACCCUUGUCUCUCUGAAGUCUGCCUAUUCAGAGGAGGAUUCUGAGGGCAGUAUCUUAGAGGUGUUUCAAGGACCAAGUUUGAAAGCCUUCAUUAUUGCUGGAGGUUUGGUGUUUUUCCAGCAGAUAACUGGGCAACCAAGUGUUCUAUAUUAUGCCGGCCCAAUUCUUCAGGGUGCUGGAUUCUCUGCGGCUGCUGAUGCCACUCGAGUUUCUGUCAUUAUUGGUUUGUUCAAGUUGCUGAUGACAUGGAUAGCUGUUCUAAAAGUUGAUGAUCUUGGAAGAAGACCCUUGCUGAUUGGAGGUGUUGGUGGGAUUGUAUGUAUAUUGUUAUUCUUCUGUACAUUUUAUUUUCUUCCAAUGUUUCUCUCUUUCUCUCAUUAUUAUUAUUAUGAAGGUAAAUUCUGCUUUUUCUCUCUGCAUACCUUACAGGUUUUCUCCUUAUUUUUGCUUUCUGCUUAUUACAAAUUUCUUGGAGGGUUCCCAUUUGUUGCUGUUGCGGCUCUGCUUCUCUAUGUUGGUUGCUACCAGGCAAGUAAUUUUCUUUUGUUUGUUGGAAAUGUCUUCUCUGUUCUCAUCUGUGUUGGGUCAAAAACUCCUGCAAUAUAUGUUAUGUGAAAAAUCAAUAAGAAUGCUAUAUCAAAACAAGCUUGAUGAGCCAGAGAGGGGGAAAAAGAAAAGCAGAAAUUUUUACAUGGUCUGCUAUCUCUUAUGAUGAAAUUUUCCUUCUUCCCCAAAGUGCAAUUGGCUUUGGGUGACAAAUUCUCUUGUAACACCUUUUCCUUUUCUGUUGGAUCAAGGUGAAAGUUGAUUCUAAAAUUUCUGUUCUUUACAUAUCAUUUCAGAUAUCAUUUGGGCCUAUCAGUUGGCUAAUGGUGUCAGAAAUUUUCCCACUUCGCACUAGAGGAAAGGGCAUAAGUCUUGCAGUUCUUACUAACUUUGGUUCUAAUGCCAUUGUAACCUUUGUAUUCUCACCAUUAAAGGAGCUGCUCGGAGUUGAAAACCUUUUCCUUCUUUUUGGGGCUAUAGCUUUGUUGUCACUGUUGUUCACCAUAGUCUUUGUCCCAGAAACUAAAGGUUUGAGCUUGGAAGAAAUUGAAUCUAAAAUCUUGAAGUGAAAGCUCACAACUGUUGGAAACUUCUGUUGUAUGUUUCCAGCAAACAAAAAAGUUAUGGGUAGUUUGUCAGCAUAUCUAGUUGUGGUGUAGGAAGGUGAUUGAAUGCAACCUCAACUACGUAUUUGUGAAUAUCAUAUCAUGUGGAAAUUAUGUAUUUUAGAAGCUGUUUGGUAAAUAAGAAUAUACAUUGGAUAUUUGUGUGGAUAUUAUUGGAUCUUCCAAGUCAAUUCUAGUUUUUGAAUAAGAAUACGUCUUGGUGCUGCUUCUCUA
This 2022-nucleotide unclassified non-coding RNA is filed under the name Hevea brasiliensis (rubber tree). Lineage: Eukaryota; Viridiplantae; Streptophyta; Magnoliopsida; Malpighiales; Euphorbiaceae. The record is from RNAcentral.